AUGUCCUAAGGGUGAAACUGUUCAAUAAUAGGGAAGAACACUGUCUGUACUCUACUGGUUUUGUAAAUCCAAACUCAACUUUUGUGUAAUUUUGUUAAACUAAACAGGAAGUGGGUGCAUUUGUAAAGUGAAACCAUUUAAUGUGUAAUUUGUAAUUCAUGGUAAUUUAUCGAUGGCAUAGAUCUAAUCAAUCCAAUCUAACAGCUCAUAAACGCUAGCACAUUUUAUUCCUGGGUUACCCGCUAGCUUACCCAUCCUAUAUAUAUAUAUAUAUAAUACUAUUAUAUAAAAGCACGAAGUGGUAAAUCUUUCACUUGACAAUUUUUUCCUUUCUUAUUUAUUCUUCUUUUUCUCCACUCUUUUUAUUUUCUUAAAUUGCUGGUACCCUUUAUAUUUUUAUAAUUUUGUAAUACUUAAAUAAUCUGUAAAUUUAAUUCCUUUAUUGCUAUAAUAUCUCAUGUCCCUUCUCUAUUUCUUCUACUUUCCGUUACGCCCCUCUCUCAUGUUCCUAUCUCCCUUUCUUUCUGAACCUUUCUUUCUAAGUCAGAUUUCUGAGAGAAUUUCUAAAUUCAGAUUGUUCACGAGGAUGGGUGGUUAACAAUUCGAUUACUUGCUGUAGGAUUUUAUCAAUUCAAGCAACAUACAAUUAGUCGAGUAACAUACAAUCAGUUGUUGUGAUUGAACUGUACUUUAUUUUUGUAUGUUGUUGAGGCCAAUGUUGGGAAACAGCGUCUAAGCUAGGGUAAGGUUGUGUACAUUAUGAUGGAAGCCUCAUGCAUUGGGUAUUUUUUCAGGCCAAUUUUGAGGCAAUGAUCAUAAUCAUAAACAAUCUCCUUCAGGUUUGUAGAUUGAUAACCUUUUUUUCCCCCUAUUUUAAGGUAGAAUCAGCGAACCAAACCCCUUCAUGAAGAUAAAUAAGAAUGGAGUGAAAGAAGAAGACGACCCCGAUUUCCCUCGGACAUCUUGGUACGUACAAGGGGACGGUGCUCAAGAACACCUCACACAUUUGUUACCGCAUAUGAUCUGAUGAAGUUUAGACCAAUUUUGUUUUAGGUGUGUUUUUUUCCGUUUUACCUCAUAAGGUAGAUAUACUUUCUUUGUGCAUACCAACUGUUUGAUAAUAUGCCUUGCUUUGCAAUUUUUCUUUCAUGGCUUGAUUUUUUAUUUUAUUUUUUGUAAGAUUCAUGGCUUGAUUAAUGAUUGAUAAAAAAAUGUAUUAUUUCCUUAUUAAGCUCUCCAUAGCUUGCACCAAUAGCCAUGAGUCCAUGACCAUACUUCCUACUCCACAAAGGGCCCAAGCACCAGAUGCCUGAGGGAUUACUACCCUUGCUCAUUCUUCAGUACUCAAUAAAGUAGGGGUUUGUGAAGGGACAAAUGUAGACCCAGCUAGAGGAAGCCCUGGCGAAUCCCAUUUAAAAUGCAUGAAUCUAAAUAGACUCUACCAGUGUGGAAUGUGCAGCCUAUGCUCAUCGGAGACAUUAUGUCAGGUGAACCAACCCAAGACCUGUUCAGGUUUUAGUUACCCAACAAGUCCAUAACCAGCCAAAUCUGUGGAAACUACAAUGUGAAAGGAUCAGUGUUUUUUUUUGUUUGUUUUGUUUUGUUUUUUGUCUUUUUUUUUUUUUUUGUUAGGCCCCAAGGAGAGUGAACUCAUGACCUCUUAAUUUUGAGGUGUUGGUCUUUGCCAACUGAGUGGGUUUGAAAGGAUCAGUGUUAUUCUACUAAAAUUACUAAAAUACAACAAUUUGAUGACUUGGUUAUCAUUUGACGGCAACAAUUUCAGUUUAUGCUACAUCAUCUCCAGCUUGGCCUAUUAGCUGGUAUGUACAACCAACCAGUCCACUUUAUCAAUUCUUUUUGUGGUUUUCCCAUUUUAUGGAAAACUGUUGUUUAUAGAAGCCUAUAUACUGUUCUAAUUUACUUUCCUUGUUUUCAUUCUUUACUAUGACUAUGUUUAUGCAAUCAGAGGCAUAAAGAAAUCAGACGAUCUCAUACUCUCUGGGGUCCUAGAUAUGUGUAAUAGUAAUGGCUUUACUGAGGAAUCAAAAAACCAUUGCAAGCGAUGGAGCAUGAGUUGUCAAUCACUUGUGGUUUUAGGCACAAGCUUCUUGAAAGGAAAACAACACAUGGGCCUUGAAUUACCCUCUCCAAUCAUCUAGACAAAAAUCCUGCAACCAUGUCUGCAAAAGAAGCUCUCUAGGAAGGGGAUGUUGGAUUCGAUACCUGAGUAUGAGACAACUGAGUGCAAGAGGGAUAAUCCAUCUGAACCCGAUUACCAAUUGGGUAGAUUCAUACCCAACAGAGCAGCAAUGGACUUCAGCUUUGCUUGUUACAUGUUUUGAUAGAAGGGAGGAAGGUGAAGGAAACCCCCAUUGUGAGUUCUUCAUCCUAAAAGGCUUUCAGGAAGCUACUUGCAGAAGUUCUGAAUAACAAUAGGACACAGUUUCUGGCUUUCGAAGACAAGCCUUGUUGAGAUGUUUCCUACAAGGCUGUUCAACAAUCAAAAUAUGCAAAGCCUCGUAGACACAUUCCUCAGGUUUUAGUUAGGAUUUCUCUACCAUUUUCAACUCAAGGCGUCUCCUGUGUUGGAAUCUGUAUGGCGUACAAUGGUGGCCGGUCACCCUAGCAGUAAUGAGGGGGAGCCCCAGGUACUUGACAGGAAAGGAACCAAGAGAGAACCAGUUAACUGAAGAUGGGCUUUGGAGGCUUCAGUGACACCCGCAAGGAAGAGGUGGGAUUUAAGGAGAUUGAUGCGAAGGCCAGACAGGUCUUCGAAAAGGUGGAGGGAGGACAUGAUGGUUUUUGUAUUUACUUUUGUUGUUAAUUCGUAUGCUUACCUUAUGUGCAUAUAAACAAGUGAUCAAUUGUUUUUGUAUUUACUUCUAUUGUCAGUUCGUAUGUUUAAUUUAUGCACCUUGUUUUAUUUGGUAAAA
Molecule: long non-coding RNA, 2933 nt
Organism: Macadamia integrifolia
Lineage: Eukaryota; Viridiplantae; Streptophyta; Magnoliopsida; Proteales; Proteaceae
Exons: 3
Source: RefSeq, a predicted model, not a curated record